GAUGAACGCUGGGGGCGUGCCUAAUACAUGCAAGUCGAGCGAACGGACGAGAAGCUUGCUUCUCUGAUGUUAGCGGCGGACGGGUGAGUAACACGUGGAUAACCUACCUAUAAGACUGGGAUAACUUCGGGAAACCGGAGCUAAUACCGGAUGAUAUUUUGAACCGCAUGGUUCAAAAGUGAAAGACGGUCUUGCUGUCACUUAUAGAUGGAUCCGCGCUGCAUUAGCUAGUUGGUAAGGUAAUGGCUUACCAAGGCAACGAUGCAUAGCCGACCUGAGAGGGUGAUCGGCCACACUGGAACUGAGACACGGUCCAGACUCCUACGGGAGGCAGCAGUAGGGAAUCUUCCGCAAUGGGCGAAAGCCUGACGGAGCAACGCCGCGUGAGUGAUGAAGGUCUUCGGAUCGUAAAACUCUGUUAUUAGGGAAGAACAUAUGUGUAAGUAACUGUGCACAUCUUGACGGUACCUAAUCAGAAAGCCACGGCUAACUACGUG
This 497-nucleotide ribosomal RNA is filed under the name uncultured bacterium. RNAcentral describes it as "partial 16S ribosomal RNA". It matches the Rfam family "Bacterial small subunit ribosomal RNA", at positions 28 to 507 of the family's 1533-position model. The record is from RNAcentral.